UGGAACGAUAGGAAUGCGAGUGUGUUCCAAAAGAAAGCCACGAUGCCGACCGUUGUGGUCGAUCGUAUCAAGGCGGAGUAUAGAAAUUGGGUUCUGGCCGGGGCAAAACACAUGGGUUCUUUGAUGCCGCGAGAGUAG
RNAcentral lists this ribosomal RNA (138 nucleotides) under Triticum aestivum (bread wheat). RNAcentral's name for it is "partial small subunit ribosomal RNA". Lineage: Eukaryota; Viridiplantae; Streptophyta; Magnoliopsida; Poales; Poaceae. The record is from RNAcentral.